This 71-nucleotide transfer RNA is filed under the name Pithovirus LCPAC304. Its description in RNAcentral is "tRNA-His". It matches the Rfam family "tRNA". Rfam says of the family: Transfer RNA (tRNA) molecules are approximately 80 nucleotides in length. Their secondary structure includes four short double-helical elements and three loops (D, anti-codon, and T loops). Lineage: Varidnaviria; Bamfordvirae; Nucleocytoviricota; Megaviricetes; Pimascovirales; Pithoviridae. The record is from RNAcentral.
UCCCUCGUGGUGUAGUGGCAGCAUACAGGUCCGUGGCACCUAUGGCUUUGGUUCGAUUCCGAACGAGGGAA